UACGGGGGGAGCAAGCGUUGUCCGGAAUUACUGGGCGUAAAGAGCUCGUAGGUGGUUUGUCGCGUUGUCCGUGAAAACUCACAACUCAAUUGUGGGCGUGCGGGCGAUACGGGCAGACUGGAGUACUGCAGGGGAGACUGGAAUUCCUGGUGUAGCGGUGGAAUGCGCAGAUAUCGGGAAGAACACCAGUGGCGAAGGCGCUCUACUGGGCCACAACUGACGCUGAGGGACGAAAGCUAGGGGAGCGAAAGGG
RNAcentral lists this ribosomal RNA (253 nucleotides) under uncultured bacterium. RNAcentral describes it as "partial 16S ribosomal RNA". It matches the Rfam family "Bacterial small subunit ribosomal RNA", at positions 524 to 776 of the family's 1533-position model. The record is from RNAcentral.